AACACUUGAGAACCAUGAGACU
Molecule: microRNA, 22 nt
Filed under: Gadus morhua (Atlantic cod)
Lineage: Eukaryota; Metazoa; Chordata; Actinopteri; Gadiformes; Gadidae
Description: gmo-miR-11272-3p
Source: miRBase by way of RNAcentral